Lactuca sativa (garden lettuce) is the source of this 1029-nucleotide long non-coding RNA. RefSeq lists it as uncharacterized. Lineage: Eukaryota; Viridiplantae; Streptophyta; Magnoliopsida; Asterales; Asteraceae. The record is from RefSeq and is a predicted model, not a curated record.
UUAGCCGUUUUCUUCCCUUUCGGCUUAAACUUCAAUUCAAUCUAAUCGACUCUUGGGUUCUUGCUGCGUCGUUCCUGCUUUUCCUUACGAUCUUGAUCAAUUGAAUUGCUAGUCCAGUAUGGUGGUGUGUGAGUGUGUCAUUCGGCAAGAGGGCAAAGGAAAAAAAAAACGAUCGUGAGUGGAGGGAGAAUGUCGAUUGCGAGGAUGUGGAGGGGUUAGGUCGUCGAAACUAUUUGUAGGGUGCAAUUGAGGCUUGAAAUCCAUCACUUUUACUUGGUGGGGUAUUGAGAACUUCAAGUAAGUACAAGUCUUGGAAUAGAAGGAGGAUUCCAUCAAGGCUAAAGGAGGAAGAAGAAUUGUAGUUGCCGACCUUAAAUUGAUGUGUAGAGCACAACAAUGUUGAAUCGUCAGUACAGAAGAAUGAUAUCAAUGAGUACAAUUACAAAUGUAUAGAGUGGAGGUAUAUAUGAAGCCUAUACCUAUCGAAAUAAAAAAUUGAAAGGAUCGGAUUCCUGAUUUUGUGCUCAUCAAUUGAAUUCAAAUAUAGGAUGAUGAUAUUUUUGGAAUACAAUAAAGCAGUAACGAAACAAUAUUUGUCGAAGUUUUCUGGUGAAGGGGACAAUGUUUCUAAGCAAAGGACAAGCAACAGACGAAGAAUUAUUUGACGAUGAAAUUGAUGCAUGAUAAUGGUAAGUAUUUGAAUAUGGUAUGUGUAGCAUAUUAUGUUAAAAUACCACAUCAGUUACAUAUAUGUCGAUAUAAACGGAUUAAAGGCUAAAUGGCAACGUAGGAGGGCAAAAAUGGAAUUUAACAUUACAGGGAAAUCGAAGGUGUAAGUGACACGUGGUAGUUUGGAGUCCUUUUUUAGUAAGGAUGUAGAUGUUUCAUCAUAAAAUGAAUGGUUGACCCAUUUGGGUUUGUAUGUUUUAUGUGCAACCUUUAUGAACUCACUCAAUAGGGGCUGACACUUGUAUCUUUUCUCUUUUAUGCCUUGUGAUUGGUGUAGGCAGCUUAGGAGUUUGGCCUUGG